GUACGGCGAGUGAGCGGCAAAAGCUCAAAUUUGAAAUCUGGUACCUUCGGUGCCCGAGUUGUAAUUUGGAGAGGGCAACUUUGGGGCCGUUCCUUGUCUAUGUUCCUUGGAACAGGACGUCAUAGAGGGUGAGAAUCCCGUGUGGCGAGGAGUGCGGUUCUUUGUAAAGUGCCCUCGAAGAGUCGAGUUGUUUGGGAAUGCAGCUCUAAGUGGGUGGUAAAUUCCAUCUAAAGCUAAAUAUUGGCGAGAGACCGAUAGCGAACAAGUACAGUGAUGGAAAGAUGAAAAGAACUUUGAAAAGAGAGUGAAAAAGUACGUGAAAUUGUUGAAAGGGAAGGGCAUUUGAUCAGACAUGGUGUUUUGUGCCCUCUGCUCCUUGUGGGUAGGGGAAUCUCGCAUUUCACUGGGCCAGCAUCAGUUUUGGUGGCAGGAUAAAUCCAUAGGAAUGUAGCUUGCCUCGGUAAGUAUUAUAGCCUG
RNAcentral lists this ribosomal RNA (477 nucleotides) under Saccharomyces cerevisiae (brewer's yeast). Its description in RNAcentral is "partial large subunit ribosomal RNA". It matches the Rfam family "Eukaryotic large subunit ribosomal RNA", at positions 83 to 564 of the family's 3401-position model. The record is from RNAcentral. Lineage: Eukaryota; Fungi; Ascomycota; Saccharomycetes; Saccharomycetales; Saccharomycetaceae.